This 247-nucleotide ribosomal RNA is filed under the name uncultured bacterium. RNAcentral's name for it is "partial 16S ribosomal RNA". It matches the Rfam family "Bacterial small subunit ribosomal RNA", at positions 86 to 334 of the family's 1533-position model. The record is from RNAcentral.
AGAUGGCGACCGGCGCACGGGUGAGUAACACGUAUCCAACCUGCCGAUAACUCGGGGAUAGCCUUUCGAAAGAAAGAUUAAUACCCGAUGGUAUAAUCAGACCGCAUGGUUUGAUUAUUAAAGAAUUUCGGUUAUCGAUGGGGAUGCGUUCCAUUAGGCAGUUGGUGAGGUAACGGCCCACCUAGUCAACGAUGGAUAGGGGUUCUGAGAGGAAGGUCCCCCACAUUGGAACUGAGACACGGUCCAA